This 468-nucleotide ribosomal RNA is filed under the name uncultured bacterium. RNAcentral describes it as "partial 16S ribosomal RNA". It matches the Rfam family "Bacterial small subunit ribosomal RNA", at positions 28 to 507 of the family's 1533-position model. The record is from RNAcentral.
GACGAACGCUGGCGGCGUGCUUAACACAUGCAAGUCGAACGGAAAGGCCCUGCUUUUGUGGGGUGCUCGAGUGGCGAACGGGUGAGUAACACGUGAGUAACCUGCCCUUGACUUUGGGAUAACUUCAGGAAACUGGGGCUAAUACCGGAUAGGAGCGCCUGCUGCAUGGUGGGGGUUGGAAAGUUUCGGCGGUUGGGGAUGGGCUCGCGGCUUAUCAGCUUGUUGGUGGGGUAGUGGCUUACCAAGGCUUUGACGGGUAGCCGGCCUGAGAGGGUGACCGGCCACAUUGGGACUGAGAUACGGCCCAGACUCCUACGGGAGGCAGCAGUGGGGAAUAUUGCACAAUGGGCGGAAGCCUGAUGCAGCAACGCCGCGUGCGGGAUGACGGCCUUCGGGUUGUAAACCGCUUUCGCCUGUGACGAAGCGUGAGUGACGGUAAUGGGUAAAGAAGCACCGGCUAACUACGUG